GCGCCCGUAGCUCAGCAGGAUAGAGCAGCGGUUUCCUAAACCGCGUGUCGGGGGUUCGAGUCCCUCCGGGUGCGCCA
Molecule: transfer RNA, 77 nt
Filed under: Thermacetogenium phaeum DSM 12270
Lineage: Bacteria; Bacillati; Bacillota; Clostridia; Thermoanaerobacterales; Thermoanaerobacteraceae
Also listed under: 6 other names
Description: tRNA-Arg (CCT) (tRNA-Arg-CCT-1-1)
Rfam family: tRNA
About the family: Transfer RNA (tRNA) molecules are approximately 80 nucleotides in length.
Source: RNAcentral